RNAcentral lists this small RNA (106 nucleotides) under Marmota monax (woodchuck). Lineage: Eukaryota; Metazoa; Chordata; Mammalia; Rodentia; Sciuridae. The record is from RNAcentral.
GCUGGGCACAGUGGCACAUGCCUGUAAUCCCAGAGGCCAGGAGGCUGAGGCAAGAGGAUUGUGAGUUCAAAGCCAGCCUCAGCAACUCAGUGAGACCCUGUCUCUA